GACGAAACGCUGGCGGCGUGGAUUAGGCAUGCAAGUCGAACGGUAUCAUCCUUUCGGGGGUGAGAGAGUGGCGAACUGGUGAGUAACACGUAGGUUAUCUACCCUCAAGACGGGGACAACCCAGGGAAACUUGGGCUAAUACCGGAUGUGAGCAACUUUUAGUUGUUUGAAAGGUGGCGUAAGCUGUCGCUUGGGGAUGAGCCUGCGUCCUAUUAGUUAGUUGGUGAGGUAACGGCUCACCUAGGCAAUGAUAGGUAGGCGGCCUUAACGGGUGGUCGCCCACACUGGGAUUGAGAUACGGCCCAGACUCCUACGGGAGGCAGCAGUCGAGAAUAGUCUACAAUGGUCGGAAGACUGAUAGUGCGACGCCGCGUGAACGAUGAAUCCCUUCGGGGUGUAAAGUUCUUUUAUAUGUGAGCAGUGCUUCUUAUAUUAACAGUAUGGGGAGAGAGAUAUUAGCAUAUGAAUAAGCAACGGCUAACUCCGUGCCAGCAGCCGACGGU
Molecule: ribosomal RNA, 503 nt
Filed under: uncultured bacterium
Lineage: Bacteria
Description: bacterial SSU rRNA
Rfam family: Bacterial small subunit ribosomal RNA
Source: RNAcentral